CAUGCAACUAAUACAGAUAAUGAGACAUGACAUUAUGGGACCUUGGAAGCCAAUCUGAAGCCAUGGAAUGUACCUUCAGAGAAGAAAGUACUUCCUCAAAAUGUCACUUGCAUACAGAACUGCCUUGAUGAUGAGGAGGACCAGGAGACCAAUCAGUGCCACAGCUGCCAGAGAUCCUCCUACGAUGGCUGCUAUGUUUGGCCCCUCAGGACAUUCUAACACAAGAAACGUAAAGCCGCCACAGACGACUUUACCAUUUCCCCCACAGUGAGGAUGGGGUUGUUUGGAAUCAUCACAUUCACACUCGC
This is a long non-coding RNA of Sinocyclocheilus anshuiensis, 308 nucleotides long. RefSeq lists it as uncharacterized. Lineage: Eukaryota; Metazoa; Chordata; Actinopteri; Cypriniformes; Cyprinidae. The record is from RefSeq and is a predicted model, not a curated record. The transcript is spliced from 4 exons.